CGAGGACCUGGACAUGCAACAUGUUGCCAGUGUGAUAUGCCUCAAUCAAUGGAUCUUGAUUUACUUGAUUCUAUCACGUGUGGGGAGAAUGGAAGUUGCACAGAUUCUGGGUUGUGGUCACUGUAUCGCGUUUAUUAUUUGAUUCAUCAUGCUACCAGACAUCACAAGUCACGCACCGUCAAACUAUUGAUAUUCAUAGUCACGAUAGGACUGCUUACAUAUCAAAUAAGACUGCAUUGACUAUCUGUUUGCACACUUCAAACACACUAGUGACCACGGCAGCGGUGGAUCUUACAGUCCAGGACACAAGUGAGAGUUCAUUGCGAGAGUUCCAAAAGACUGAAUGACGAUGCCUGCAUCUGGAUGUAAGAAGAUUUUGAUAGUUCACGGCUACUUACUCCAGGAUUCUGGAUCAUGUGUCUACGUGCGGAAUCUGGCCACCGGCUUCCAUAUGCAGGGGCAUCAUGUGACAAUUGCCUGUCAGGAUAUUCAUGCUGAAAAGCUGAAAGAUAUCGUGCAUAAAACUGAAGACGUGAACUUCCCAGAGAACGAUGGCGUCACUGCCUUCAUACCGAUGCCUCCCUUUAUGAACCACGUCCUGCCUGUCUACUUUUACAACCCUUAUGAAGGAUACAACGCCAAGACCAUUGUUGAGAUGACCGAACAGGAAGGCGAAGAGCACAUUCAGUUUGUCUCAAAGCGACUGGCUGACUUGAUCAGUGUUCACAGUUACGACUUUAUUAUGACAAACCACUGUCUGUUUAGCCCUAUCAAUGUCAAGAGGGCGCUCGAGAUGUGCGGGAAGAGUAUUCCUUACGUCAGCAAGAUCCAUGGAAGUGCACUCAAUACCAUAGCAGCGAAGGAUAAACGCUGGUUGCCGUUUAUUUACGAGGGUCUCCGCGGUGCGAAGAAGAUCAUUUGCGGCACAAGGUAUAUGCAAAUGAGGUUAUUUGAUGUACUGACAGAAACCCUUCCUCCCGCGAGCAUAAUACCUUGCGGCGUCAAUACAGCUUUAUUUUCAGGCUUUCCUCGCGUUCCUCGUAGGAAUAGACCAUUCAACAUCAUAUUUUGGAGCCAUAUUCUCAACACGAAAGGAAUAGGUGAACUCCUUUUGGCAAUUUCGCACGUUAAAGGAAAACACCCGAACAUCCAGUUCCACGUGGCUGGGACGGGAAUGUAUGUUGAUAACUUCCAACGAAUGAUUGAAGCUCUCGACGAAGGCGAUGCUGCAAAAUUCGAAGCCAAUGCAUUCAAGAAUGAUUUCGUAGCGAAGCACGUUGAAGUGAAAUCUCUUUUCAAGAAGAUUGAUACCGAUUUCAUUAAGUACCAUGGCUUCCUGACGCAUGACAUCCUUGCCCCCCUACUUGCAACCUGUGACAUCAUGGUGGCACCGAGUAAAGCAGAUGAAGCGUUCGGUAUGGUCACAAUUGAGGCGCUGGCUGCGGGGGUUUAUCCUGUUGUAGCCGACCACAGUGGACUCUCAAACGUCGUCGAUAUAAUCUCAUCCUACGACUCAGCAGUGACGAAUUGUAUGAAGAUUCCUUACCCCGACGGCAGGAUUGAUGUAGGAGAGCUAAUCGCGGCGGUGAAUAGGGCGGUCGAAUUCGUAAAGUCGAGUGAUGAUCAACUGGCGGGGAGGUUAAGGACUAUCAGCAAGAAUCUAGAUUGGAAGGAAGUGUGUGACAUGAUAAUGAACUAAAGAGACAUUUCGCCUAUGUGGAUUGAUCCGGCUGACAAGACAUCGGAAAAACAAAAAAAUACCCUGAAGAAUUCAUUUAAAUUUCACUUCGCUGUCCAAUGAUGAAGUCAUUAACAAACAUUCUAACCGCUCUAUAUCCUCCACCCACCACUAGAAACACUUAAGAAUUGGAUUUCUAUGGUGAGGUAGGCGAACUCUAUCCCACAACACAUUAAAAUCAUUUGUAGUCUUCAUGUUAAAUAAAAGUCGCUCAGCUCACAGACUAUUAGCGCCUAGGCUGACAGGAUAGGCGGCCCUUGAAUAUCAUACUCAUCAUUCGAGUGCCGUCCAACAUUUCUGCUCUGUGUAUCAUUUGAUUGUUCGUACAUGUAUUGGCAAUAAAAAACCACUCAGAUAGAAAACUCAUUUGGACCGUGAUCACGAUGCUCAGUCCGGAUUAAAGUGUCACGCAGUAUUCAUCGACCAGUCUGAUGAGAUUGGCAAGUUCCGCUGCUAAUGGUACUUUGGCUGUCUAACUUAUGAGCAGUGAAGUGAUACCAUUCAUCGAAAUGACAUUGGCUAUAAAUUUGCAUAGUGGGAACCAAUUUAGUUUCAAAUUGUAGACGUUUGAGGCGCAUUUGGUAUUGCGUUAGUUGAUACUCUCUACGGCCGUUAAACGUUUAGGUGGUGUACCAAAAUCUCGGAAACAUGAUAAUCGGGACUUUAGUUUAGUGUAACCAUCAACAUUCGACAGAAGAACAAAUGGAUUAUAACGCAGCUCUUAUCAUAAUAACGACUUCGAUCCUUUCUGUACUAGGGACUGAACGUCCUGUUGGCGUCUGGCCCCUCGACUCUAUCUCCAGGUUGCGAGAUGUGUCGGGAAAUGAAAACCACAUGACCCAAUCCAACACAAAGUUUGUAGAGUGGUCGAGCGGCAUUGGCGAGACAGCUGUACGCCUCUCCAACGAUAACGUUAUCACGAUACUUCAAAAGGAUGGCGCAGAUUCAAUGAAUUGCGGAGGGAGCUUUACCUUGAUGUUCCAUGUUCACAUUAGAAGUUUGACUUCUCUGUUCUUCCGUUGGCAUGGAAAAAUGGGUUACGGAUCCAUGGCGAGGAUAUCUAACGGUCAGCCCUGGUUGAUUCUGCGCAGAAGUUCACUUCAGCCCCUUCUCCUCUUUCGCGUGCCAAUUCGAUUGAAAUCUACGCAAUGGAACUUCGUCGCCUUUUCAUAUGACUCCGAGACCAGAGAGGCCCUGGCUUGUGUGAAUGACCAGUGUGCAUCUGCCAAAUCAACUGGAAAGCCUGGGGAAAAGCACAUGGCCUAUGGUAAAAUGACGAUCAGAAGUCAGUCAAGAGGCAAAGAAGGACUAAAGCUUGCCUGCAUCCGCCUUUACAGAAUCAACUUAAACAAAAAGGAACUUCUCAGGAUGGCGAUCCUCCACCUAAACUGCACUGAUCAUUCCAUUAUGACACCAGCUAUGUUAUUCAGAAAGUACUCAAAAGCAGUGCCUCUCUCUGACGUCACAUGGACUUCUGACGUCACAGGUCGAGGGCCCCUCAAAUGUCUUUUCGAAUGUCACACACGUGACAAGUGCUCUGCUGUCAACCUCGAUACCAAAGGUCAAAACUGCCGUAUGGGAUCUUACACGAGUGAAUCAUUACUUACAACAGGAGACGAGGAUGCAUAUGUCGCUUCCAAUCUCAAUUAACGAUACAACCUUGGAUGAGGAUUUCUUUCGUUUCCAGUUUAAUCGGUGUUCCUGGCUAGUUGUAUCUGCAUAUUUAUUUUAGUAUACAUUCCCUAAACUACUGAUAGAACUUAUAGUCACACGUGUCCGAAGAGAUUUCCGGGGUUGGGUCAGCUUGGUUGUUUGUCCAGCCUAUGUGAGUGGUAUGAUAAUCAACAUGACCACCGAAGACACAACAGUUACCAGCAUGAACAGCAUGAAGAAAAACCUAUCAAGAAUUUCAGCGGCGACCUUCCAGCUGUUUGCGUACUUUCCGCUAC
RNA transcript from Lineus longissimus, 3687 nucleotides. RefSeq lists it as uncharacterized. The record is from RefSeq and is a predicted model, not a curated record. The transcript is spliced from 7 exons. Lineage: Eukaryota; Metazoa; Nemertea; Pilidiophora; Heteronemertea; Lineidae.